CCUGAGCACCAUUUACUGAGUCCUUUGUUCUCUACUAGUUUGUAGCAGAGAACAAAGGACUCAGUAAAUGGUACUCAGG
This 79-nucleotide microRNA precursor is filed under the name Pongo abelii (Sumatran orangutan). RNAcentral describes it as "miRNA". Lineage: Eukaryota; Metazoa; Chordata; Mammalia; Primates; Hominidae. The record is from RNAcentral.